Dioscorea cayenensis subsp. rotundata (Guinea yam) is the source of this 2377-nucleotide RNA transcript. It is a transcript of the gene named zinc finger-containing ubiquitin peptidase 1-like, with no coding region annotated. NCBI's taxonomy places the organism in Eukaryota, Viridiplantae, Streptophyta, Magnoliopsida, Dioscoreales, Dioscoreaceae. The record is from RefSeq and is a predicted model, not a curated record. The transcript is spliced from 8 exons.
UUCAUUCUUGUAUAUUCUAGAUUUGCUUUGCUUGCUAGUAUGGAUGUUUUUGAUGGAUUAAAGUAAUUUUUUUAAAUGAAAUUAUAAUCUUUGGCACAAGAGAACAUGUUCUAAGAAUAGAACUUGUGACUUGCUAAUCGUUUGUUUGUUAUAUUUUUAUGUAUGUUAGCUUUGCUGGUUAUAAAGUAGGGAAAUUUUUGAUGGAUUGUGGAUUCUGUUUUAACAAUUUUAAGCCUAUGAUUAUAAUUUCAGAGAAUCGAACAAGUUGUUCGUAAAUCCUGUGUUUUACUAUAUUUUGCAUAAGUAAACUUGCUUGAACGGUGCCAAACAUUUAAAAAAAGUAAACUGCUUGUUGUUAGCUUUGCUGGUUAUAAAGUAUACAAUUGCUUGGAUUAUAUUACAUGGUUGCUGAUUGUUAGGUGGAUUGUCUACCAAAAAUGCUGUCAUAUUCACUUAUCUCAAAAAGAUUGAAACUUUGUUUUUUUUUUUUUAUCUUUGCAUUACUUGAAUCCAUAAGAAAUUGAAAAAUAUAAAUAAAAAUCAAGGGAAAGUGAUAGCAAGAGAUAAGAUAAAGUUCUUCCCUGUAAAUAUUUGAUGGUUUUUCUUGUUUAUAUGUUCUCUAUGAUAUCCUUAUGUGAGUAAAGUUGAUUAUUCAUUUGACCAUAUCAGGGAACUUAUUUUUUGAUUUAUAUGUCUGGUUAUUUCAUACCAAUCUUCUGCAUUGUCCAAUUAAUGAAUGGUUCUAUUGCUUUUUCUAGUUUUCUUGUUGAUCCUCCAAUUAAUGUAACAGAGAAUUGCAAAUCAAAAGAUGCUCUCAUCUUGCCCAAUCUGCUCCACAUGUUUUCCAACUCUAUCUGACUUGGAACGGCAUGUAAACAAUCACUUUGUAGAUGAUGAACUUGAGCGGGACAUGGAACUAGCAGAACAAAUUGCAUUAGCUCCACCCAGUCCUAUACAAAUGGCUGGCUCGUUGGUUGAAGGAGUGACUCCUGAAUCCAGCACUUUGAGGUUGAAGGCACAUGAUUAUGGGGAACCUCUUCAUCUACAGCUGGGCAUAUCUUCAUUAGUUUCCUUGCAAACUAAAAGCACAUUUUAUAAAGUUGAAGGUGGUCUAAUGACUUUAUUGAGGAGGUGUCUGGAAUUGGAAAAGGGUAGUUCAAAAAGUAUCAUAACAGGCCACAUUGACCAUUAUCAGAGUUUGAAAUCUGAAGAUCAUGGAUGGGGUUGUGGAUGGCGCAAUAUUCAAAUGUUAAGCUCCCACCUUUUGAUGCAGAAUCAAGAAGUGAGGGAUGUUAUGUUUGGAGGGUGUGGAUUUGUUCCUGAUAUUCCAUCACUCCAGAGGUGGCUGGAGAUUGCUUGGAGAAAAGGUUUUGAUUCAGAUGGCUCAGAAACAUUUUGUAAUAAAAUUUAUGGCACUACGAAAUGGAUUGGAACCACUGAGUGUGCUGCACUCCUUUGUUCUUUUGGCCUUAGAGCAAGAGUUGUAGAUUUUGAUAGUUUGUCAUCUCCAUCACCAUCGUUGUCCAAUGUGAAUCUUGGUGCCAAAGGAAAGGACGGAAAUCAUCAACACCCCAGAGACAAAAGGAAAGCAAAACAGGUUUAUGGGCCACUUGACAAGUUUCUUAUUCAAAGGAAGCCUAGUGCUUCUUCAGUGGGUGUCUUGUCAUGUGAAAGUUCUCAGCAUGUGCUUCAUGCUGGUACCUUGAUAGAUGAUGACUGCAAUCAAUAUAAUGGGGAGAUUAAGAGCCAUCAUAUCCUUGUUGAUUGGGUCUGGAACUAUUUUAACAGUGGACUUUCCAAUGCACGUAAUGAUUCUAAAGGUGUUUUUGUCAGUGAAAGAACGCCUUUAUACUUUCAAUACAAUGGUCAUUCAAGAACCAUCAUUGGAAUCCAACGGCACAAGGGAUUGCGAAACUUGCAAGAUCAAUAUUUUCUUUUGGUUCUUGAUCCUUCUGAGAGAACAGAAGAUUUGGAAAGGUCUCUCCAAGCUAGCAGUGGAUGGCAAAGGUUGAUAAAAAGAGGGGUGCAUACCUUGAGAAAGCCACAGUACCAGCUGUGUUAUGUUGAUCAUGGAAUUGCCCAUAAAGAGGAGAUGGAGCAGCUCAAGGUUAUUCAUAGCAUCUUAAUUAAAUUCUAAACGAAGUGGAUAUGGAUAUUAUGAAGGUGUGCCUCACAUCAGAUUUGGCCUGACGAAAGACCUGAAGAUCUGGAGCUGCAUAAGUGAUCGAUCUGCAAUUUUAUUUUAGCAAGAUUCAGAUGCAUGUAUAUGUACCUCCAACAGCAAGGACCAGGGGCACCACAAUCAAAGUGAGCAUGGCUACUUGCCAGCAGCAGAUAAAAGCAAUGAUGAUUCCAACAAAUAAAGUCGAGAAGCUCG